RNAcentral lists this transfer RNA (65 nucleotides) under Atkinsoniella nigrita. RNAcentral describes it as "tRNA-Ser". Lineage: Eukaryota; Metazoa; Arthropoda; Insecta; Hemiptera; Cicadellidae. The record is from RNAcentral.
AGUUACUUAGCUUAUAUUCCAAAGCAAAUAUUUUGAAAAUAUUAGAAAGAGAGAUUUAGUAGCUU